RNAcentral lists this ribosomal RNA (496 nucleotides) under uncultured soil bacterium. RNAcentral's name for it is "bacterial SSU rRNA". It matches the Rfam family "Bacterial small subunit ribosomal RNA", at positions 8 to 494 of the family's 1533-position model. The record is from RNAcentral.
AGAGUUUGAUCCUGGCUCAGGAUGAACGCUAGCGGCAGGCUUAAUACAUGCAAGUCGUGGGGCAGCAUGUCCCGCAGCAAUGCGGGAUGAUGGCGACCGGCAAACGGGUGCGGAACACGUACACAACCUUCCUUUUAGUGGGGAAUAGCCCGGGGAAACCCGGAUUAAUACCCCGUAACAUAAUGAAGUGGCAUCACUUUAUUAUUAUAGCAGCAAUGCGCUUUAAGAUGGGUGUGCGACUGAUUAGGCAGUUGGCGGGGUAACGGCCCAUCAAACCUACGAUCAAUAACUGGUGUGAGAGCACGACCAGUCACACGGGCACUGAGACACGGGCCCGACUCCUACGGGAGGCAGCAGUAAGGAAUAUUGGUCAAUGGACGCAAGUCUGAACCAGCCAUGCCGCGUGGAGGAUGAAGGUCCUCUGGAUUGUAAACUUCUUUUAUCUGGGAAGAAAUGCAUUUUUCUAAAAUGCUGACGUACCAGGUAAUAGACCCCU